AGCGCAGACGGCGAUGCAAGUCUGGAGUGAAAGCCCGGGGCUCAACCCCGGGACUGCUUUGGAAACUGUAUGGCUAGAGUGCUGGAGAGGCAAGCGGAAUUCCUAGUGUAGCGGUGAAAUGCGUAGAUAUUCGCAAGAACACCAGUGGCGAAGGCGGCUUGCUGGUCCGGAUCUGACGCUGAGGCGCGAAGCGUGGGAGCAAACA
Molecule: ribosomal RNA, 205 nt
Filed under: uncultured bacterium
Lineage: Bacteria
Description: partial 16S ribosomal RNA
Rfam family: Bacterial small subunit ribosomal RNA
Source: RNAcentral